Molecule: ribosomal RNA, 484 nt
Filed under: uncultured Flavobacteriaceae bacterium
Lineage: Bacteria; Pseudomonadati; Bacteroidota; Flavobacteriia; Flavobacteriales; Flavobacteriaceae
Description: bacterial SSU rRNA
Rfam family: Bacterial small subunit ribosomal RNA
Source: RNAcentral
GAUGAACGCUAGCGGCAGGCUUAACACAUGCAAGUCGAGGGGUAACAGGGAUUGCUUGCAAUCCGCUGACGACCGGCGAACGGGUGCGUAACGCGUAUGCAACCUACCUUUUACUGGGGGAUAGUCAAGAGAAAUUUUGAAUAAUACCCCAUACGAUCAUUUAUUUGCAUAAAUAGAUGAAGAAAACUCCGGUGGUAAAAGAUGGGCAUGCGUCCUAUUAGUUUGUUGGUGAGGUAACGGCUCACCAAGACUACGAUAGGUAGGGGUCCUGAGAGGGAGACCCCCCACACUGGUACUGAGACACGGACCAGACUCCUACGGGAGGCAGCAGUGAGGAAUAUUGGACAAUGGAGGCAACUCUGAUCCAGCCAUGCCGCGUGCAGGAAGACGGCCCUAUGGGUUGUAAACUGCUUUUAUACAGGAAGAAACGUCAGUACGUGUACUGACCUGACGGUACUGUAAGAAUAAGGAUCGGCUAACUCCG